GGGCCUGUAGCCCAGCACGGAUUAAGGCAUCGGCCUCCGGAGCCGAAGAUCAGGGGUUCAAAUCCCCUCGGGCCCGCCA
RNAcentral lists this transfer RNA (79 nucleotides) under Candidatus Bathyarchaeota archaeon. Its description in RNAcentral is "tRNA-Arg". It matches the Rfam family "tRNA". From Rfam's summary of the family: Transfer RNA (tRNA) molecules are approximately 80 nucleotides in length. Their secondary structure includes four short double-helical elements and three loops (D, anti-codon, and T loops). Further hydrogen bonds mediate the characteristic L-shaped molecular structure. tRNAs have two regions of fundamental functional importance: the anti-codon, which is responsible for specific mRNA codon recognition, and the 3' end, to which the tRNAs corresponding amino acid is attached (by aminoacyl-tRNA synthetases). tRNAs cope with the degeneracy of the genetic code in two manners: having more than one tRNA (with a specific anti-codon) for a particular amino acid; and 'wobble' base-pairing, i.e. permitting non-standard base-pairing at the 3rd anti-codon position. The record is from RNAcentral. Lineage: Archaea; Thermoproteati; Candidatus Bathyarchaeota.